Oncorhynchus tshawytscha (Chinook salmon) is the source of this 5426-nucleotide long non-coding RNA. Lineage: Eukaryota; Metazoa; Chordata; Actinopteri; Salmoniformes; Salmonidae. The record is from Ensembl.
AGGCGGACUACUCCGAGGGAGGCAGACAGGCGGACUACUCCGAGGGAGGCAGACAGGCGGACUACUCCGAGGGAGGCAGACAGGCGGACUACUCUGAGGGAGGCAGACAGGCGGACUACUCUGAGGGGGAACUGGACGAAGACCAAGAACACACACAUCAUCACAGUGAACACACACAUCAGCACAGUGAACACACACAUCAGCACAGUGAACACACACACUUCGAGCAGGCCCCAGCAAGCUGGCUCAGUGUUCCACAGGUGUAUCUGCUGCCGGACACACCCGCAGCAAAGAGGGUUGUCGGCCCCAGCCACCUGUCCAAAUACCUGAAAGUGAAGGGCCUUCACAACACAGAACCGAUCAUAGGUCUGGGCAGUGUGGUGGAGUGUAGAGGUAUAUCCCAGGCUACGUUUUUCAUGUGUGUGAGCUGUGCUGAGACUCUCUCCAGUACACACAUCUGUGAACACAUCAUCAGCGCGCAACACCAGCAGUGCUACAUGUUUUCCCAGUAUAGUCCUAUGCGCUGUGAUUGGUUGAGAGAGCAGCAGCAGCCUCCGAGUCCACAGCUCCUCAGGAAGGUUGCUUCAGCACUGUCACAACUGGAGGUGGAUCUAGAUGCACAGGUGAUGCUGCUGGAUCAGAUGUGGUAUAACCUUGUGAAGUCAGCUCCAUUCUACGAAGCCAUGUACAUGCUGCAGGAACAGAAUCAGAAUGCCCUGUGUCUACACACAGCAAGCAGACAUCAGCUUUUUCCCCCAGUUGGUCCUGACCCAGCAACGGAGCAGGGCUUUGACCAGAACCACAGAGUGAUGGAUAAACUGACCAUGGAUCAGAUUGAGCCCCAUCACCCCCUGCAGACAGCAGAUACAGUGGCUGGUAAACUGACUGGAGAUCAGCUGGAGUCAGGCCAGUGCAUACAGACCGCAGACAGACGGCCAGAUAAUCAGAACCCGGAUCAGCCCCAGUGGAGCCAGAGCUCAGAGAGAACAGAGAUGGUCCCUGAGCCAAUAAGAGCCAAGACACCACAUAAUUCUGAGCCAAUCAGAGACCAGACACCACAGAACAUUGAGCCAAUCAGAGCCAAGACGUCAAAGAAUUCUGACCCAAUAAAAUUCCAGACACCACAGAACACUGGGCCAAAAAGAGCCUGGAUGCCACAGAACUCCUCAGAACCACAUCUGGACCAAGACAACACAGUCAUUGUCAAACAGGAGCCUGUGGACCCCAAGGUGGAACCUCAGCCCCAUCCUCAUACCCAGCCUGAGGUGGACCCCUUAAAGGAUUCCCUGUAUGGACACAGAGUCCAGUUCUCCCCAGAUGUACAGAACCUGGCUGGUGUGUGUGAGGUGGAGUACCAGGGGACCGUCCUAGCACACAGCCAAGAGGUGACACGAAUAGGAGGGGCCACAGAGAACUCCCUUCAACCCACCAAGAACUUGAGAGACUCCGUCAACAACAGCUUGCCUUUGGUCGGUCUCAGUGCAAUGAUAGAGUGUUGCAGUGAGGGCCAGGUGUCCUUCUACCUGUGUGUGUCGUGUGGCAGCAAAAUUGAAAAAACUCUACUCAUCAGCCACGUCCUCAAAUACAGACACCGACAGCUGUACCUGACAAUGAGGUACCCGUGGUAUUUCCUUGGUGUGGUACCAGCCCGAGGGUUGGCAGAACAGUCCAGACUGAUGCAGAUUGCUAAGGAGGUGGAGGAGCAGAACCAUGAUGAGCCUGGCACGCUACAGGAGGUGAUUCUGGCCCCUGCUGACUUUGCCGAGAUCAAACGGAUGCUGUUUGAUAAAGCUGUAUCCCGUUUGCAGGAGAUCUGUAGAGAGCAGAACCAGACUGAACUCCUCACCAUGGUCACCAGCAAACCUGAACCAAUAGUGGUCAAGCAGGAGAUUGUGGAGUGCCAGGUGGUCUCCCAUCAGGCCUUGGGGCUAUUCCUACCGCCACAGAGAUGUAGGAGAAACACGGGAAAACGUUGUUCUAACGUUGAGGGGUCAGAGGUGAGGGGUCAGCAGCAGGUGAAGAAGAGAAAGGUGUCCAGCCCCCCUGAGGGUCACACUGCCCCUGUCAUCUGUCUAUCAUCUCCUGAAGUCAUCAAGUCUUCUGAAACACACACUGUCAACCAGACACACAUCAUCACACCCUCACCCACACAAUCCAACACUAAGCCGAAACUCACAUACACACACUCUGACUCUCAAACUAAACUUAAACCUUCACGCACACACCCCAAACCCAGUUCAACAGCCCCAGAAUAUACUAGACCCAAACUCAUUCCCCAUUCUGCCACCAAGCCCUCCGGUAUCCCUGCCGACAGCCUGACUGUUGCCAAAGAGUCCUCUAGCAAGAAAGCCACUCACACACUGUGCAAACCCACACACACACUGUCCAAUAGCCAGAAGCUCACUGACAAACAUUCGGACAAGAAUGAGUCUCAGAAACAUACUGAAAAGGCUAAACCUACUCGCACACACAGUGAACGCACACACAGAAACCGCACACACACUCGCAAACACAGUGACCUCACACGCACUGACAAAGCCAAAGACGGACACAGUGACAAGACCAAACGCAGACACAGUGACCGCAAACACACUAACAGACAUUCUGACCACUCACGCUGUCACACCAGCUCUAAGAGACAUAAUCGUAGCUCCAGCCGUUCCUCCAAAGCCUCCCCCAGAGCUAGUCCCUCUGAGCCCCCUGCUCUCCCCCUACUCCCCGCUGCAUUCUCCCCCACCAGAGCCACUUCUGCGGCGAGCCUAAGCCAGGUCAAACCCAGCCAACCUUCCUGCCUAGUCAACAAACAACUACCCAAACAGUCCAGCCAACCAACCAAGAGACCUCCCAACCCAACCUCAGCAGUCAGACCUCUCCAGACCCAGGCCAACCCUCCCAACAACACCUCUUACCCCCACCUGCACCCAGAAAGAACCGGACCCAUGACCCCCCACUCGGACCCAUGACCCCCCACCCGGACCCAUGACCCCCCAACCCCCGGCAAUCCCUCCCUGCCUCACUCCUCCACCUCCACCCCAGCCAGGUCCUGUCUACGCCUCUGGGGUUAAGAAGAAGACUUCCAUUGUAGACUGUGAUCAAUUUGUGGAAUACUUUGUCUCUUUGUUGCGCUCCCCCCACUUUCCUCCUGCCCUAACCACCCCAGAGAGUGCAGAGAGCGCUGAGGCUCAUACCAGGGCAACAGGCCCUAACCCUGGAGGGGAGAAGAUGAGGGGUGACUCAAAAGGUCAUGCCAUCGCCAUAGUGGCGGCAUUACCCAACCCGCUAAAAAGGAAGCUAUCCCUACAGGAACCCGAGGACAGAGACCCCUGGAACUACGAGAGCCGACAGUUCACUCCCAACUCCAAACCUAACCCCAACUUCAAACCUAACCCAAACUUCCAGAACCCUGACUCCAAACCUAACCACAACUUCCAGAACCCUGACUCCAAACCUAACCACAACUUCCAGAACCCUAACUCCAAACCUAACCACAACUUCCAGAACCCUAACUCCAAACCUAACCACAACUUCCAAAACCCUAACCCUAAACCUAACCCCAACUUCCAGAACCCUAACUCUAACCCCAACUUCCAGAACCCUAACUCCAACUCUAACCCCAACUUCCAGAGUUAUACCCCCACUACCAAUGCCACACUAGCCCAGGGGGGUUACACUGGAGGGGUUACCGUUUCUUCUAGCCCUAACCCCACUGACCCACAGCCCCCAGAGAUUCUACCUGGUUACACCUACCCUGGUUACACCUACGCUGGUUACACCUACCCUGGUUACACCUACCCUGGUUCAGGUUACGCUGGAGUUGUCAGUGUUAGUCAGUUCACUUCCAACUCCCCCAUUAACCCUAUCCCCAGCCCCAGUAACACACAGUCACAGCCACAGGCAAGGUGGUCUGGGGGCAACUGGGGAACAGGCUACCCAGGGGCAGGCUAUGUUACAACAGGUCUAGCUGGUACUUCCUACCCUGGAGCUGUCUCUUCUGGAAGUGGACCUGGCUACCCUGGAGUUCUGCUCUACCCAGAGAUGGGCUACUCAGACAUGGACUGCCGUGGACAGGCUUACCCUAGGUCUGGGACUGGACUCGGCUCUACUGGGACUGUUAUGCCCCCAGGAAGCCUCUACUCUACCACACCAUCUCCAGCCAACCCCAGCUAUUUGGCCUUGACCCAGCCAUCACUUGACCCAGCCAGCUACUCCGCCUGGACUGCUACUGACACCGGGGUUGCCAUUGAAACCAGCACAGCAGAGUAUCUGCCACGCCCUCAGUGAGGACCCCGCCAGCCUGGAUUUCCUUAACGUGAAGCACUGACUGCUGGACAAUCGCUGGACAUGGAGGAGACGUAUACACACACACAGAUUGAUAAACGCUGUAUGGGUUUUGACUGACAGACGUUCUGAACUUGAGCACCGUGCGCAACAAGAAGUUGCCCCUAUCCCUCCCGGUAACUGGCCAACUUUUGAAAUGUUUUUGUUGUCUGAGUGAGCAAAAUGCUAUAAAUUGAGAUUACUUGUAUUUUGAAAUAUGAGAAUUUGAGUAUUAUAAUAAAUACCGCUUUGAUGUCAUACAAGCAUGCCAAACACCUGUGUGUCCAAAUGUGCACUUCACAUUUCCAAAUCAUAAAACUCAUGUUUACUACAGUAUCAACGUUUAGCACCACCAUGUUUGAUGUAGUUACAAGAUGACAUGGCAUCAUACCCUGGGUUGUUCUGAACAGAAAUAGCCUAUGUUUGUUUAUUGUGAUGGAAACUAGAGGCUCCACACGCACCGAAUGCACUUAUGACUCCUUUCUAUGCGCCCCAACAUGACCAUCUGUUUCUCUGAAUUGCCUUGUGAAAGCCUAACACUGCAAGAUCGUAUUUUAUGACUCAUUUUGGCAAUAGAACGAGCUUUCAAAUCAUGCCCACCCUACCCACGUUGCGGUUUAUAAUGGACUGUUUUUGGAUUAUGUAAACAACAGCAGUAAUUCUGUGAUGGCGGGAAUGCAGGGUUGUGUUCCAAAUGAAACAACUACAAGUGUUCUUGCUCUCGUUCCUCAACGGCACAGCUAGGAGAGUUCAAAAAAUACUUUCAAGUUGAAGACUUUUCUUUGAGUCAUAGAAGUGCAUUGAAAUUAUUUAGGAACUGUGCACACUUUGGGGAUGUGUGUGGCCACUUGGAGACACCAGUUUCCUUACUCAAACCCUUUUUAGUUUUAUGUUGCAUAUUUUCCAGGAAUAGUCUUGUCAUGUUACUGAAUGUAUCCAGAGUGUCAACAAAUGCACAUAUAAUCAAGUGUAAUGUUUGGAAUCAGUCUGGUGUUAGAUGAACUGUUGGACUCACAUUAUCUCCAAACUUUUCCCUUUCAGUUGCUACCAUGGUUAUGCAUAUGCUUUUCAUAUUUCUUCUGUAAGAAACAUUUACAUUUAGCCCUAUC